This 253-nucleotide ribosomal RNA is filed under the name uncultured microorganism. RNAcentral describes it as "partial 16S ribosomal RNA". It matches the Rfam family "Bacterial small subunit ribosomal RNA", at positions 524 to 776 of the family's 1533-position model. The record is from RNAcentral.
UACGUAGGGUGCGAGCGUUAAUCGGAAUUACUGGGCGUAAAGGGUGCGCAGGCGGCCCUGUAAGACCGGUGUGAAAUCCCCGGGCUCAACCUGGGAAUUGCGCUGGUGACUGCAGGGCUAGAGUACGGUAGAGGGGGGUGGAAUUCCUGGUGUAGCAGUGAAAUGCGUAGAGAUCAGGAGGAACACCGAUGGCGAAGGCAGCCUCCUGGGCCUGUACUGACGCUCAUGCACGAAAGCGUGGGGAGCAAACAGG